CGAGUGGCGGACGGGUGAGUAAUGUCUGGGAAACUGCCCGGUGGAGGGGGAUAACUACUGGAAACGGUAGCUAAUACCGCAUAACGUCGCAAGACCAAAGAGGGGGACCUUCGGGCCUCUUGCCACCGGAUGUGCCCAGAUGGGAUUAGCUUGUUGGUGAAGUAACGGCUCACCAAGGCGACGAUCCCUAGCUGGUCUGAGAGGAUGACCAGCCACACUGGAACUGAGACACGGUCCAGACUCCUACGGGAGGCAGCAG
RNAcentral lists this ribosomal RNA (259 nucleotides) under uncultured bacterium. RNAcentral's name for it is "partial 16S ribosomal RNA". It matches the Rfam family "Bacterial small subunit ribosomal RNA", at positions 92 to 354 of the family's 1533-position model. The record is from RNAcentral.